CGGCACCUCAUAAAAAUAAAUAAAUAAAUGUAUUAAAAUAAGUAAAACAAAGCUAUUGUGUCUAUCUACAACUAAUUUAAAAAAAAAAACUCACAAAUGAAGUCAGAAUGAGAGGAAGAAAGAAAUAAAGAACACUAAACAAUCAAAAAGUAACAGUAAGUCCUGGAUCUCAGUAGUUACAUUAAAUGGAAAUGGAUUAAAUUCUUCAAUCAAAAUGCAGGAGUGAGCUGGGCACAGUGGUGCAUGCCUGUAAUCCCAGUGAUUUGGGAGGCUGAGGCAAGAGGAUCAAGAGUUCAAAGCCAGCCUCAGCAACAGCGUGGUGCUAAGCAACUCGGUGAGACCCUGAGUUCAAUCCCUGGUCUCCCCCCCCCCCCAAAAAAAAAAUCGAAUAGAGUGGUUGAGUAGAUUUUUUUUUUAAGAUGUAAUAAUAUGCCCUCUAUAAGAGAUUCACUUUAGGUUUAAGGGCACACACAACCUGAAAGUGAAGGAAUCACAAAAGAUACUCCAUGCUGAUGGUUACCAAAGUAGAACAGGAGUAGUUCUGUUUAGGUCAGAUAAAAUACCCUUCAAUUCAUGAACUCUCUUUAGGAGAGACAAGGAAGAUUGUUACACAAUGACAGAGGAGUUCUUCGUGGAGAUAUAAUCAUUGUAAAUGUGUGUGCGCUAAGUACUGAAGCAUCUAGAUAUGCUAGGCAAAUGCAGACAGUAGGCAAUAUUAGGAGACUUAAAUCACUUGCUUUCAAGAGGCAUAUAAAUAAAUAAAAGACCCAUUUAUAACUAAAAGAAUUUACAUAUUUUAAAAAAUAAAAUAAUAGUACCAACACACCAGCUCACGCGUGCUUGGUGCUUGUGUGUGCACAUACACACAUACAUCUGGAUGGUCUAUGCGCGCUCUUUUAUUUUGUAGUUGUAGAUGGACACAAAACCUUUAUUUUAUUUUUAUGUGGUGCUGAGAAUCGAACCCAGGGCCUCAAACGUACAAGGCAAGUGCUCUGCUACUGAGCUAAACUCCAGCCCCAGCUAUUAUUAUUUUAAGAGAGCUUAACUCUUAGGUCAACUAGCACGAAGGAGAAAUAAAUAAGUUUUCUUAUUUAUUUUGCUCUCACUAUGCCUUUUUGGCUGGUUUUCCUGUUUUUAUGUAGAUCUGAGCUGCUAUCCAAUAUAAUUUUCUUUCUCUCUAAAUGUCAGAAGGAACUUACGUUUCUUGCAAGGGAGGUCUGCCACAAUGGAUUCCCU
This 1236-nucleotide long non-coding RNA is filed under the name Marmota monax (woodchuck). Lineage: Eukaryota; Metazoa; Chordata; Mammalia; Rodentia; Sciuridae. The record is from RNAcentral.